Molecule: ribosomal RNA, 499 nt
Filed under: uncultured bacterium
Lineage: Bacteria
Description: partial 16S ribosomal RNA
Rfam family: Bacterial small subunit ribosomal RNA
Source: RNAcentral
GACGAACGCUGGCGGCGUGCCUAAUACAUGCAAGUCGAGCGGACCGACCAGGAGCUUGCUCUUGUUCGGUUAGCGGCGGACGGGUGAGUAACACGUGGGUAACCUGCCCGUAAGACCGGGAUAACUCCGGGAAACCGGAGCUAAUACCGGAUAACACCGACGACCGCAUGGUCUUUGGUUGAAUGGCGGCUUCGGCUGCCACUUACGCAUGUGCCCGCUGCGCAUUUUGUCGUUGGUGAGGUAACCGGUCACCAAGGCGAAGAUGCGUAGCCGGCCUGAGAGGGUGACUGGCCAAAAUGGGAACGGGAAACGGCCCCGACUCCCAAGGGGGGCAGCAGGAGGGAAUCAUCCGAAAUGGACGAAAGGCUGAAGGCGGGAAGCCGCGUGAGGGAAGAAGGGCUUCGGAUCGUAAAGGUCUGUUGUUAGGGAAGAAGAAGCGUCGUUCGAACAGGGCGGCGCGGUGACGGUACCUAACGAGAAAGCCCCGGCUAACUACGUG